GAUGGAGGUGUGAUAAUGAUGGAGGGGUGGAGGUGUGAUGAUGAUGGAGGUGUGAUGAUGAUGGAGGGAUGAAGGUGUGAUGAUGAUGGAGGUGUGAUGAUGAUGGAGGUGUGAUGAUGAUGGAGGGAUGGAGGUGUGAUGAUGAUGGAGGUGUGAUGAUGAUGGAGGUGUGAUGAUGAUGAAGGUGUGAUGAUGAUGAAGGGGUGAUGAUGAUGGAGGUGUGAUGAUGAUGAAGGGGUGAUGAUGAUGGAGGUGUGAUGAUGAUGGAGGGAUGGAGGUGUGAUGAUGAUGGAGGUGUGAUGAUGAUGAAGGUGUGAUGAUGAUGAAGGGGUGAUGAUGAUGGAGGUGUGAUGAUGAUGGAGGGAUGAAGGUGUGAUGAUGAUGGAGGGAUGGAGGUGUGAUGAUGAUGGAGGUGUGAUGAUGAUGGAGGGGUGAUGAUGAUGGAGGGAUGGAGGUGUGAUGAUGAUGGAGGGGUGAUGAUGAUGGAGGGGUGAUGAUGAUGGAGGUGUGAUGAUGAUGGAGGGGUGAUGAUGAUGGAGGGGUGAUGAUGAUGGAGGUGUGAUGAUGAUGGAGGGGUGAUGAUGAUGGAGGGGUGAUGAUGAUGGAGGGAUGGAGGUGUGAUGAUGAUGGAGGGGUGAUGAUGAUGGAGGGGUGAUGAUGAUGGAGGUGUGAUGAUGAUGGAGGUGUGAUGAUGAUGGAGGGGUGAUGAUGAUGGAGGUGUGAUGAUGAUGGAGGUGUGAUGAUGAUGAUGGAGGGCUCACACACACCUACAUAAACACACAACCUGCAGCACACGUGUUUUCUCAGUGGGUGUGUG
This is a long non-coding RNA of Acanthochromis polyacanthus (spiny chromis), 817 nucleotides long. RefSeq lists it as uncharacterized. The record is from RefSeq and is a predicted model, not a curated record. NCBI's taxonomy places the organism in Eukaryota, Metazoa, Chordata, Actinopteri, Pomacentridae. The transcript has 5 exons.